RNAcentral lists this ribosomal RNA (492 nucleotides) under uncultured bacterium. RNAcentral's name for it is "partial 16S ribosomal RNA". It matches the Rfam family "Bacterial small subunit ribosomal RNA", at positions 29 to 507 of the family's 1533-position model. The record is from RNAcentral.
AUUGAACGCUGGCGGCAUGCCUAACACAUGCAAGUCGAACGGUAACAGAGCAUCUGGUUCCGCCGAGUGGCGAACGGGUGAGUAAGGCAUCGGAACGUAACCUGACGUGGGGCGUAGGGCAGCGAAAGGUAUGGUAAUCUAGCAUCUCAUCUGAGUAGAUGUUCGGGGGACUGCGCUGCAAUGUUUGACCUCGCGCCCUUCGAGCGGCCGCGGUGGGAUUGGCUAGUUGGGGGGGUAAAGGCCCACCCAGGCGACGCUCCGUAGCUGGUCUGAGAGGAGGACCGGCCACACUGGAACUGGGACACGGCCCAGACUCCUACGGGAGGCAGCAGUGGGGAAUUUUGGACAAUGGGCGAAAGCCUGAUCCGGCAAUGCCGCGUGGGGGAAGAAGGCCUUCGGGUGGUAAACCCUGUUUGGCGGGAACGAAAAGGUGUAGGGUAAUACCGGGAGAUAAUGACGGUACCUGAAGAAUAAGCACCGGCUAACUACGUG